UUGGGUUGUGGUGAUUGGGGCUGUGUGUCCUCGGAAUUUGAGCAAUUACCUCAAUUACGUCCGGUUUCUAGUGUGUUUUACUGGAAGUUGAGCAUCUCCCAGAGAUAGCCCUGUGUGGUGAAAGCCUCUGAGCAUGAGAAGGUACAAUUGUUAGAACCAGCUGAGCGGAAUGACUUCUGUGCGACACUCCUCCCUAAGAAACAAAAAACUAUAAAAAAUGGACCAUUAAGCCUUCAUGUAGUAAAUGUGAAUACACAAGUGAAGUGUAUUUGACUGCAUUGUGGCAAUGCCUAGUAAUGUUUAUGUAGAUAAAAAAUAAAGAUUUAUGUUUCUGUUCUCAGAAUUUCUGUGUUUCCCAAGCUUUAGUACGAGUUGCUUCUAUUUUACUUCCUCUGUGUUACUGUUGGGAUACCAAUGCACCCCUYUGUAUGAAACAAAUCCUAGGAUUUGCUAAGUGUUUGGGAUAUGAUGACUUAAACCAUGGCCGGCCACCUGUAGUAUUUAGAGAUAGGGCUGGCUGAGAUUUGUAUGGUGGUGAGCAAAAGUAGAAAAUUAAAAAGUAGAAAUACAGCAAAUCUGGGUUUAAAAAUAGCAGGAAAGGUGUUUUUCUAACAUGGAGAACAGCAAGCUUGUUUUAUGAUUAUCACCUUGACCAGCUACAUCAUAUAGUACUUUAACUUGACUUGGAGUGCAAUACUCUUGAUAAUUGGAAUUGCUGCUUAUUUUUUCAGGAACWCUUAACAUACAAAAUUUCAGCCUUUGGUCUUCUGAUAAAAUURAUUUAUCUUGCAAUGUCUGAUUUUUUCAGUACUGAAUAUAAGUAUGCUACUUACACAAAUUCUAAGUGUAAGGUUGUUUUUGGUUUGUCAAGAGGAAUAGGAGGUUUAGACAARACUAAUUAAUUUUUAGUGAUCCAGCAUGUAAUUAUUGGAUGCACUUGAAAGUUUAGGGGUUUUUUUAGGGAUUACAUUCCCUGACGAUACCAUCUGUUGAGGARUUUUGCUCAUAGGCAUUUGUUCUCGGAAGUGUAAGAACAAUAGGAGUAGCUUUUUUAAAUUUAGCCAGAUUUGGAUGGGUAUCUAAAAUGUUAAUUAUCUUUCAACUGAAAAAAAUGUAGAACCCCAAGCUUUAAUGUGUAAUACAGGUUUUAUGGUACAGGGGAAAAGUGGGAUAGAGAGAGGAAUAGGUGGAUGCAAAGGUCACAGAUUUCUUAAAUAAUAAUGCUGGUAAAUGUGAAGUAUGGUGUUAAACAUUAGGACUGCCUUUUAUUUUGUGUGACUGGCUAACUGAAUUGUACCCUUGAAAAAAACAUCAGACCGUAAGAUUAUGCUCAACAAUAAAAAUGGGAGAGAAAGGAAUAAGGA
Molecule: long non-coding RNA, 1364 nt
Organism: Malurus melanocephalus (red-backed fairy wren)
Lineage: Eukaryota; Metazoa; Chordata; Aves; Passeriformes; Maluridae
Exons: 3
Source: RefSeq, a predicted model, not a curated record